AUGGUGAAGGUUUUUCCGUUGCACCUGCCGACUCCGCCGACUCGGGAAUCGGGGGAUCACCCGGCGCAGAAAAGCGAGCCCACCCCCACGGGGAGAAAUCGUAGGCGCCGCUGGACCGGUGCAUCCCAGCGACUAAGCGCCCGGCCAGGGAGAUCGGCGGGGUGCCCUCGGCUACCCUUCGCUACCUACCUCGCUCGAGCUUCCGACGGCCGCUCCCCGCCAGCCGGACCUUCCUUCCUUCCUUUGCCGCGACGCGCACCUGUUGCUUUCGCUAUAGCAGCAGCCGCGGCGCACCUUGGACGCCGGACGGGAAAAAAGAGCGCAGCGGUGGCCACGCCCCCUUCUGGAAUCCGAGCCGCCUGCGCCCGCCCCCUCAGCCACGCCCCCUCGCCUCCCAAGCCAGGCUGCUUUUGCGCAUGCUCCGCACCGAUGCGGCGCUCUCUCUCUCUCUCUCUCUCUCUCUCUCUCUGUCCCGUUUUUGUUUUUUUUUUCCUCCCGGUUGCCACGCGCGCAAAGGGAAAGGUCGAAGAGCGCGCAUGGGCGUUUCGUUCCGCAAGCGAAACUAAGAGCAAAGAACAAGAAACUGAUACGGAAAGAUUCAGAACUCCAGAUCUGAAUCCAUGGCUGAGGACCGAACUAUGCUGGCAGAUGUUGCAGGGCGAAAAUGAAGAGCUUGUGGAUCGAGACCCAGUUCCCUAUUCCCUGAGCUACCAGUUGUGCUGAACAGCAAGCAAUUCCAGCUUAGACACUUGCACAGCAGCCCUGAACUCUCUCUGAUCCGGGGAGUUGGGUAGCACCUGAAGGCCAAUCCUCUGACAUCUGAUAUAAGCUUCCAGGUCUACAGGUUUCCUGCACUCUAGGUAACUUUGGGGAAGUGUUUGUUCUUUCAUGCCAAGUCACCAGUCUAUAGCCUGGCAUGCAUCCUCAUUUUGUAAAUAGUUAAUGUUAUGUACUGAUGUUCUCACCCUGGGCCAGCAGGGGGAUACUGUAGAUAGUUAUGCAAAUGAAGGAUCGAAAGUAACGUUCUGUGAUUGGAUAGUUUGUAUGCAAAUGAAGGAUCGAAAAGUGACGUUCUGUGAUUGGAUAAUUUUAGAAAGUCGCAACAGUUACAAUUGUUCUGGUGCUCUAUAUAAGCAGGCUGACUGAGCUCCUCAGUUAGUUCUGUUCCAGCUUACAAAUAAAGAGCUGCUUUGGAAGAAUCACUGUGUCAUCUGAUAUGUUCACCCACAACUUAACAGUUAAUAAAGUUUAUAUUUUAUGGAUAUCCUGG
RNAcentral lists this long non-coding RNA (1270 nucleotides) under Podarcis muralis (Common wall lizard). RNAcentral's name for it is "lncRNA (ENSPMRG00000003430.1)". Lineage: Eukaryota; Metazoa; Chordata; Lepidosauria; Squamata; Lacertidae. The record is from RNAcentral.